RNAcentral lists this small nuclear RNA (148 nucleotides) under Oncorhynchus kisutch (coho salmon). RNAcentral describes it as "U1 spliceosomal RNA (ENSOKIG00005002364.1)". It matches the Rfam family "U1 spliceosomal RNA". From Rfam's summary of the family: U1 is a small nuclear RNA (snRNA) component of the spliceosome (involved in pre-mRNA splicing). Its 5' end forms complementary base pairs with the 5' splice junction, thus defining the 5' donor site of an intron. The record is from Rfam by way of RNAcentral. Lineage: Eukaryota; Metazoa; Chordata; Actinopteri; Salmoniformes; Salmonidae.
AUACUUACCUGGCAAGGGAGAUACUGUGAUCAAGAAAGCAGUUCACCCAGGGUGAGGCUCAGCCAUUGCACUGCGGCUGUGCUGACCCCUGCGAAUUUCCGAUUGCAUAAUUUAUGGUAGUGGGGGACUGCGUUCGCGCUCUCCCCUG